CCACGCCCUAAACGAUGUCUACUAGUUGUCGGGUUUUAAUUAACUUGGUAACGCAGCUAACGCGUGAAGUAGACCGCCUGGGGAGUACGGUCGCAAGAUUAAAACUCAAAGGAAUUGACGGGGACCCGCACAAGCGGUGGAUGAUGUGGAUUANUUCGAUGCAACGCGAAAACACCUUACCUNCCCUUGACAUGUACGGAAGGCCGAAGAGAUUUGGUUGUGCUCGAAAGAGANCCGUAACACAGGUGCUGNAUGGCUGUCGNCAGCUCGUGUCGNGAGAUGUUGGGUUAAGUCCCGCAACGAGCGCACCCCUUGUCAUUAGUUGCUACAUUNAGNUGAGCACUCUAAUGAGACUGCCGGNGACANNCCGGAGGAAGGUGGGGAUGACGUCAAGUCCUCAUGGCCCUUAUGGGUAGGGCUUCACACGUCAUACAAUGGUACAUACAGNGGGNCGCCACCCCGCGAGGGGGAGCUACUCCCAGANNGU
This 487-nucleotide ribosomal RNA is filed under the name unidentified beta proteobacterium RS2. Its description in RNAcentral is "partial 16S ribosomal RNA". It matches the Rfam family "Bacterial small subunit ribosomal RNA", at positions 795 to 1282 of the family's 1533-position model. Lineage: Bacteria; Pseudomonadati; Pseudomonadota; Betaproteobacteria. The record is from RNAcentral.